Molecule: transfer RNA, 66 nt
Filed under: Brachytarsina amboinensis
Lineage: Eukaryota; Metazoa; Arthropoda; Insecta; Diptera; Streblidae
Description: tRNA-Ala
Source: RNAcentral
AGGGUAGUAGUUAACUUUAACAUUUAAUUUGCAUUUAAAAAAUAUUGAUAUAUUCAAUCUUCCUUA